AUAAAUCUCAUAGGAGUUGGGAAGAAGAAGUUAUCCCACUUUCAAAUCAGUUGAUUCUAGUUUCCCAGUUUGGGAAUAAGACAACUUCUUCGUCGUUCCAAUCGAACUAGGAUGAAUCCCUUUGUAAGAAGAUUGAUAUGGAUACAUAAAGUGGUGGAGAAUGACCAGGAAGUUGAAAAAAAUCUCAUAGGAGCUGGGAAGAAGAAGUUAUCCCACAUUCAAAUUAGUUGAUUCCAGUUUCCCAGUUAGGGAAUAUGACAACUUCUUCGUCGUUCCAAUCGAACCAGGAUGAAUCACUUUAUAAGAAGCUUGAUCUGGAUACAUAAAGUGGUGGAGAAUGACCAGGAAGUUGAAAAAAAUCUCAUAGAAGCUGGGAAGAAGAAGUUAUCCCACUUUCAAAUCAGUUGAUUCCAGUUUUCCAAUUUGGGAAUAAGACAACUUCUUCGUUGUUCCAAUCGAACCAGGAUGAAUCACUUUGUAAGAAGCUUGAUAUGGAUACAUAAACUGGA
RNAcentral lists this long non-coding RNA (509 nucleotides) under Brassica napus (rape). RNAcentral's name for it is "long non-coding RNA (BNAP_LNC026039)". Lineage: Eukaryota; Viridiplantae; Streptophyta; Magnoliopsida; Brassicales; Brassicaceae. The record is from RNAcentral.